GGUCCACCAGAUUAUUCUUUACAAUGGACAAUCCACACCCACAAAGCUAAGAGCCAGGUGCUUGGUGUUUUGAUUUUUGGUUUUUCUCUUUAAACCUUGAAGAGGGUUUCAAGGAAUCUCUCCUUAAAGGCAAAUAUCCUGCCCAACUGGGUGUUGAGGCCUUUGUAGGGGACUGACCCGGGUUAAUUUCUGGCUCUGGGUUCUGCCUUGGACAAAUCAGUUUCCUUCUCUAAGCCUCAGUUUCCUCCUGCAUGCAAUGGGCAGAGUAGAGGGCAAUAAAUGAGAAUCAUCUCAAGUAUUGACUAGCCCAGCACAGUGCCUAGAAUCUGUGUCUAAUACAUGAACUUUUAUUUUCCCUUUUUUUACUUGUUUGUUUGACUACAUGAAUAUAUUCAAAAAGUACAGAGUGAAAGUAAAGAGUGAAAAAUGGGUCUCUCUUCCUCCAUGUUCCUUUACCCACCCACUUCCCUUUCAGAGAUACAAUCAAGAUUACAGGUUUCAAAACAGUUUUGAAUUUAUAAGACUAUAACAAGAAUAAUUCAGAGAAUUCCAUACACCCUUUACCCAGAAUCACCUAUCUUCACUAUUUUGCCAUGUUUGUUUUAUUAUCCUUUCUUUCUUCAUGUGACUAUGUUUAUUAUUAUUUUUCUGAACUAUUACAGUUUUCAUACAUCACACUGCAUUUACCUCUUAAUAUUUCACUGUAUGUUUACUAAGAACAGGAUAUUAUUUGCUGUAACCACGGCACUGUUACCAAAUUCAGGAAAUUUACCUUGAUGCCCCAUUUACCUCAUAAUAUUUCAGCAUGUAUUUCCUAAGAACAAGAUAUUAUUUGCUAUAGGCUGGGCACAGUGGCUCACUCCUGUAAUCCCAGCACUUUGGGAGGCUGAGGUGGGUGGAUCACCUGGAGGUCAGGAGUUCAAGACCAGCCUGACCAACAUGGCAAAACCCAUCUCUACUAAAAAUACAAAACUAGCCGGGCGUGGUGGCGCACGCCUGUAACCCCAGCUACUUGGGAGGUUAAGGCAGGAGAAUCGCUUGAACCCAGGAGGUGGAGGUUGCAGUGAGCCGAGAUUGUACCACUGCACUCCAGCCUGGGCAACAGAGUAAGACUCUGCCUCAAAAAAA
This 1128-nucleotide long non-coding RNA is filed under the name Macaca fascicularis (crab-eating macaque). RNAcentral's name for it is "lncRNA (ENSMFAG00000050834.1)". The record is from RNAcentral. Lineage: Eukaryota; Metazoa; Chordata; Mammalia; Primates; Cercopithecidae.